RNAcentral lists this unclassified non-coding RNA (340 nucleotides) under soil metagenome. RNAcentral describes it as "partial contains 5.8S ribosomal RNA, internal transcribed spacer 2, and large subunit ribosomal RNA". The stretch from base 1 to 120 matches the Rfam family "5.8S ribosomal RNA", at positions 35 to 154 of the family's 154-position model. The record is from RNAcentral.
GAUGAAGAACGUAGCGAAAUGCGAUAAGUAAUGUGAAUUGCAGAAUUCAGUGAAUCAUCGAAUCUUUGAACGCACAUUGCGCCCGCCAGUAUUCUGGCGGGCAUGCCUGUUCGAGCGUCAUUUCAACCAUCAAGCCCCCGGGCUUGUGCUGGGGCCCUGCGGCUGCCCGCAGGCCCUGAAAACCAGUGGCGGGCUCGCUAGUCACACCGAGCGCAGUAGCACAUCUCGCUCAGGGCGUGCGGCGGGCUCCUGCCGUGAAACCCCCCACUGUAACCCCAAAGGUUGACCUCGGAUCAGGUAGGAAUACCCGCUGAACUUAAGCAUAUCAAUAAGCGGAGGA